UUCAUAUAGUUUCUUUAAUCUUUGAGAUUGUUAUUUUGGUGGUUAUAAUUAUUAUUUAUAGCAUCAGAACUGUGGAUCAGUAGUAGGAAACAUGUGAAUAUGCACUUAGGGCAGUAACAAUAACACAAGAUGGAAAUGUAACACUAAUGAAUUACAUAAGAGCUCAAAUGACACAAUGGACCUCAUUUGAUUGACAAGAGGAAUC
Molecule: long non-coding RNA, 205 nt
Filed under: Solanum tuberosum (potato)
Lineage: Eukaryota; Viridiplantae; Streptophyta; Magnoliopsida; Solanales; Solanaceae
Description: long non-coding RNA (STUB_LNC011450)
Source: RNAcentral